GAUGAACGCUGGCGGCGUGCUUAACACAUGCAAGUCGAACGGAAAGGCCCAAGCUUGCUUGGGUACUCGAGUGGCGAACGGGUGAGUAACACGUGGGUGAUCUGCCCUGCACUUCGGGAUAAGCCUGGGAAACUGGGUCUAAUACCGGAUAGGACCACAUUUUGGAUGGUGUGGUGGAAAGUUUUUCGGUGUGGGAUGAGCUCGCGGCCUAUCAGCUUGUUGGUGGGGUAAUGGCCUACCAAGGCGUCGACGGGUAGCCGGCCUGAGAGGGUGUACGGCCCCAUUGGGACUGAGAUACGGCCCAGACUCCUACGGGAGGCAGCAGUGGGGAAUAUUGCACAAUGGGCGCAAGCCUGAUGCAGCGACGCCGCGUGGGGGAUGACGGCCUUCGGGUUGUAAACUCCUUUCGCUAGGGACGAAGCGUUAUGUGACGGUACCUGGAGAAGAAGCACCGGCUAACUACGUG
This 466-nucleotide ribosomal RNA is filed under the name uncultured bacterium. RNAcentral's name for it is "partial 16S ribosomal RNA". It matches the Rfam family "Bacterial small subunit ribosomal RNA", at positions 28 to 507 of the family's 1533-position model. The record is from RNAcentral.